RNAcentral lists this ribosomal RNA (440 nucleotides) under uncultured bacterium. RNAcentral describes it as "partial 16S ribosomal RNA". It matches the Rfam family "Bacterial small subunit ribosomal RNA", at positions 338 to 795 of the family's 1533-position model. The record is from RNAcentral.
CCUACGGGUGGCAGCAGUGGGGAAUAUUGCACAAUGGGGGAAACCCUGAUGCAGCGACGCCGCGUGAGUGAAGAAGUAUUUCGGUACGUAAAGCUCUAUCAGCAGGGAAGAAAAUGACGGUACCUGACUAAGAAGCCCCGGCUAACUACGUGCCAGCAGCCGCGGUAAUACGUAGGGGGCAAGCGUUAUCCGGAUGUACUGGGUGUAAAGGGAGCGUAGACGGCAGCGCAAGUCUGGAGUGAAAUCCCAUGGCUUAACCAUGGAACUGCUUUGGAAACUGUGCAGCUAGAGUGCAGGAGAGGUAAGCGGAAUUCCUAGUGUAGCGGUGAAAUGCGUAGAUAUUAGGAGGAACACCAGUGGUGAAGGCGGCUUACUGGACUGUAACUGACGUUGAGGCUCGAAAGCGUGGGGAGCAAACAGGAUUAGAUACCCGAGUAGUC